AACGAACGCUGGCGGCAUGCCUAACACAUGCAAGUCGAACGAGACCUUCGGGUCUAGUGGCGCAGGGGGGCGUAACGCGUGGGAACCUGCCCUUAGGUUCGGAAUAACUCCCUGAAAGGGGUGCUAAUACCGGAUAAUGUCUUCGGACCAAGGAUUUAUCGCCAUUGGAUGGGCCCGCGUUGGAUUAGCUAGUUGGUAGGGUAAAAGCCUACCAAGGCGACGAUCCAUAGCUGGUCUGAGAGGAUGAUCAGCCACACUGGGACUGAGACACGGCCCAGACUCCUACGGGAGGCAGCAGUAGGGAAUAUUAGACAAUGGGCGAAAGCCUGAUCCAGCAAUGCCGCGUGAGUGAUGAAGGCCUUAGGGUUGUAAAGCUCUUUUACCCGGGAUGAUAAUGACAGUACCGGGAGAAUAAGCUCCGGCUAACUCCGUG
This 433-nucleotide ribosomal RNA is filed under the name uncultured bacterium. Its description in RNAcentral is "partial 16S ribosomal RNA". It matches the Rfam family "Bacterial small subunit ribosomal RNA", at positions 29 to 507 of the family's 1533-position model. The record is from RNAcentral.